AGCGUACACGGUGGAUGCCUAGGCAGUCAGAGGCGAUGAAGGGCGUGCUAAUCUGCGAAAAGCGUCGGUAAGGUGAUAUGAACCGUUACAACCGGCGAUACCCGAAUGGGGAAACCCAGUGUGUUUCGACACACUAUCAUGUCAUGAAUACAUAGUGGCAUGAGGCGAACCGGGGGAACUGAAACAUCUAAGUACCCCGAGGAAAAGAAAUCAACCGAGAUUCCCCCAGUAGCGGCGAGCGAACGGGGAGGAGCCCAGAACCUGAAUCGGCUUGUGUGUUAGUGGAAGCGUCUGGAAAGUCGCGCAGCAAAGGGUGAUAGCCCCGUACACUAAAAUGCACAGGUCGUGAGUUCGAUGAGUAGGGCGGGACACGUGACAUCCUGUCUGAAUAUGGGGGGACCAUCCUCCAAGGCUAAAUACUCCUGACUGACCGAUAGUGAACCAGUACCGUGAGGGAAAGGCGAAAAGAACCCCGGCGAGGGGAGUGAAAUAGAACCUGAAACCGUGUACGUACAAGCAGUGGGAGCACCUUCGUGGUGUGACUGCGUACCUUUUGUAUAAUGGGUCAGCGACUUAUAUUUUGUAGCAAGGUUAACCGUAUAGGGGAGCCGUAGGGAAACCGAGUCUUAACUGGGCGAUUAGUUGCAAGGUAUAGACCCGAAACCCGGUGAUCUAGCCAUGGGCAGGUUGAAGGUUGGGUAACACUAACUGGAGGACCGAACCGACUAAUGUUGAAAAAUUAGCGGAUGACUUGUGGCUGGGGGUGAAAGGCCAAUCAAACCGGGAGAUAGCUGGUUCUCCCCGAAAGCUAUUUAGGUAGCGCCUCGUGAACUCAUCUUCGGGGGUAGAGCACUGUUUCGGCUAGGGGGCCAUCCCGGCUUACCAAACCGAUGCAAACUCCGAAUACCGAAGAAUGUUAUCACGGGAGACACACGGCGGGUGCUAACGUCCGUCGUGAAGAGGGAAACAACCCAGACCGCCAGCUAAGGUCCCAAAGUCAUGGUUAAGUGGGAAACGAUGUGGGAAGGCACAGACAGCCAGGAUGUUGGCUUAGAAGCAGCCAUCAUUUAAAGAAAGCGUAAUAGCUCACUGGUCGAGUCGGCCUGCGCGGAAGAUGUAACGGGGCUAAACCAUGCACCGAAGCUGCGGCAGCGACGCUUAGGCGUUGUUGGGUAGGGGAGCGUUCUGUAAGCCGUUGAAGGUGGCCUGUGAGGGUUGCUGGAGGUAUCAGAAGUGCGAAUGCUGACAUAAGUAACGAUAAAGCGGGUGAAAAGCCCGCUCGCCGGAAGACCAAGGGUUCCUGUCCAACGUUAAUCGGGGCAGGGUGAGUCGACCCCUAAGGCGAGGCUGAAAAGCGUAGUCGAUGGGAAACAGGUUAAUAUUCCUGUACUUGGUGUUACUGCGAAGGGGGGACGGAGAAGGCUAGGCUGGCCGGGCGACGGUUGUCCCGGUUUAAGCGUGUAGGGGGUGUGACCUGGUAAAUCCGGUUGCAUACUAACCCUGAGGCGUGAUGACGAUGCACUACGGUGCAGAAGUAGUUGAUGCCCUGCUUCCAGGAAAAUCCUCUAAGCUCCAGGUAACAUUAAAUCGUACCCCAAACCGACACAGGUGGUCAGGUAGAGAAUACCAAGGCGCUUGAGAGAACUCGGGUGAAGGAACUAGGCAAAAUGGUGCCGUAACUUCGGGAGAAGGCACGCUGGCAUGUAGGUGAAGUCCCUUGCGGAUGGAGCUGAAGCCAGUCGAAGAUACCAGCUGGCUGCAACUGUUUAAUAAAAACACAGCACUGUGCAAACACGAAAGUGGACGUAUACGGUGUGACGCCUGCCCGGUGCUGGAAGGUUAAUUGAUGGGGUCAGCCGCAAGGCGAAGCUCUUGAUCGAAGCCCCAGUAAACGGCGGCCGUAACUAUAACGGUCCUAAGGUAGCGAAAUUCCUUGUCGGGUAAGUUCCGACCUGCACGAAUGGCGUAAUGAUGGCCAGGCUGUCUCCACCCGAGACUCAGUGAAAUUGAACUCGCUGUGAAGAUGCAGUGUACCCGCGGCAAGACGGAAAGACCCCGUGAACCUUUACUAUAGCUUGACACUGAACAUUGAGCCUUGAUGUGUAGGAUAGGUGGGAGGCUUUGAAGCGUGGACGCCAGUCUGCGUGGAGCCAUCCUUGAAAUACCACCCUUUAAUGUUUGAUGUUCUAACUCNGGGGUGAGGACAGUGUCUGGUGGGUAGUUUGACUGGGGCGGUCUCCUCCCAAAGAGUAACGGAGGAGCACGAAGGUUAGCUAAUCACGGUCGGACAUCGUGAGGUUAGUGCAAAGGCAUAAGCUAGCUUGACUGCGAGAGUGACGGCUCGAGCAGGUACGAAAGUAGGUCUUAGUGAUCCGGUGGUUCUGAAUGGAAGGGCCAUCGCUCAACGGAUAAAAGGUACUCCGGGGAUAACAGGCUGAUACCGCCCAAGAGUUCAUAUCGACGGCGGUGUUUGGCACCUCGAUGUCGGCUCAUCACAUCCUGGGGCUGAAGUAGGUCCCAAGGGUAUGGCUGUUCGCCAUUUAAAGUGGUACGCGAGCUGGGUUUAGAACGUCGUGAGACAGUUCGGUCCCUAUCUGCCGUGGGCGUUGGAAGAUUGAGAGGGGUUGCUCCUAGUACGAGAGGACCGGAGUGAACGCACCACUGGUGUUCGGGUUGUCAUGCCAAUGGCAUUGCCCGGUAGCUAAGUGCGGAAAAGAUAAGCGCUGAAAGCAUCUAAGCGCGAAACUUGCCUCAAGAUGAGUCUUCCCUUGGACUUUGA
This 2779-nucleotide ribosomal RNA is filed under the name Serratia marcescens. RNAcentral describes it as "bacterial LSU rRNA". It matches the Rfam family "Bacterial large subunit ribosomal RNA". The record is from RNAcentral. Lineage: Bacteria; Pseudomonadati; Pseudomonadota; Gammaproteobacteria; Enterobacterales; Yersiniaceae.